Molecule: microRNA, 22 nt
Filed under: Lepisosteus oculatus (spotted gar)
Lineage: Eukaryota; Metazoa; Chordata; Actinopteri; Semionotiformes; Lepisosteidae
Also listed under: 1 other name
Description: Loc-Mir-130-P2a_5p (mature (guide))
Source: RNAcentral
GCUAUGACAAUGUUGCACUACU